UACGGGGGGAGCAAGCGUUGUUCGGAUUUACUGGGCGUAAAGGGCGCGUAGGCGGUCAGCACAAGUCAGUUGUGAAAUCCCCGGGCUUAACCUGGGAACUGCAUCUUAAACUGAUAGGCUGGAGUACUGUAGAGGAUAGUGGAAUUUCCGGUGUAGCGGUGAAAUGCGUAGAGAUCGGAAGGAACAUCAGUGGCGAAGGCGACUGUCUGGACAGAUACUGACGCUGAGGCGCGAAAGCGUGGGGAGCAAACAGG
Molecule: ribosomal RNA, 254 nt
Filed under: uncultured bacterium
Lineage: Bacteria
Description: partial 16S ribosomal RNA
Rfam family: Bacterial small subunit ribosomal RNA
Source: RNAcentral